CUUCAGUGAUGAUACGAUGACGAGUCGGAUCGAGGCCCGUCUCUGAGGAUUCUGGGUCAGGCUCACGUUCUGUGCGUCUGACUUCAGUUCCUCAGAGAUCGUGUCCUCUUCGAGUGAAGAUCUAGAGGCAUUUGUCUGAGAAGG
Carassius auratus (goldfish) is the source of this 144-nucleotide small nucleolar RNA. The record is from Ensembl. NCBI's taxonomy places the organism in Eukaryota, Metazoa, Chordata, Actinopteri, Cypriniformes, Cyprinidae.